UACGAAGGACCCAAGCGUUAUCCGGAUUUAUUGGGUUUAAAGGGUGCGUAGGCGGGUUAUUAAGUCAGUGGUGAAAGCCUUCAGCUUAACUGAAGAACUGCCAUUGAUACUGAUGAUCUUGAGUAUGAUUGAGGCGGGCGGAAUGUGUCAUGUAGCGGUGAAAUGCUUAGAUAUGACACAGAACACCGAUUGCGAAGGCAGCUCACUAAGCCAUAACUGACGCUGAUGCACGAAAGCGUGGGGAGCAAACAGG
This 253-nucleotide ribosomal RNA is filed under the name uncultured bacterium. RNAcentral's name for it is "partial 16S ribosomal RNA". It matches the Rfam family "Bacterial small subunit ribosomal RNA", at positions 524 to 776 of the family's 1533-position model. The record is from RNAcentral.